GGACCCGCACAAGCGGUGGAGUAUGUGGUUUAAUUCGAUGCAACGCGAAAACCUUACCAGGGUUUGAAAUCAUUUCAAAACUCCUUGAAAGAGGAGCCUCCUUCGGGAUGAAAUGACAGGUGGUGCAUGGCUGUCGUCAGCUCGUGUUGUGAAAAUGUCGAGUUAAGUCUCGUAACGAGCGCAACCCAUGUCUCUUGUUGCUCUUUGAGUGCUUAAGAGAGACUGCCGACCAACAUCGGAGGAAGGUGUGGAUGAUGUCAAGUCAGCAUGCCCCUUACAUCCUGGGCUACACACGUACUACAAUGGUAAGGACAAUGAGCUGCAAGCCUGCGAAGGUUAGCC
Molecule: ribosomal RNA, 342 nt
Filed under: uncultured bacterium
Lineage: Bacteria
Description: bacterial SSU rRNA
Rfam family: Bacterial small subunit ribosomal RNA
Source: RNAcentral